Molecule: long non-coding RNA, 944 nt
Organism: Neopsephotus bourkii (Bourke's parrot)
Lineage: Eukaryota; Metazoa; Chordata; Aves; Psittaciformes; Psittacidae
Exons: 7
Source: RefSeq, a predicted model, not a curated record
CUUUUUUAAGGGGAUGCGAAGGAAUAAUAACCCUCUCACUGUGGAGAGCAUCAGGAGUCAAAAGUCAAGACUAUUACUAGCUUUCAUCUGAGAUAAUUCACGGGACUGCAGAAGCACAAGACCCAAGGGUACCAGGAGGCACUGAAAUCCUCACACAGUGAGAUUUUUUCCAUUCAAAUAUAAAGACACGAAUGCUGCAGUUGAAAGGAAUCCUCUCUCUAUACUGACUUCAUCCAUUCUUCUCCAGGAGAGUAAUGGUGAAAAUCAGAUCUUGGUGUGCUUGGAAGAAUGGAGGUGAGGAUGUUAUUAUUGACCUAGAGGUGGAGCAAUAGGAAGACUGGUCUUUGCACUGUGGACAGAAGUGACAGAUGAUCUGGCAAGAUGCAUUUGGUUUUCCAGGAACACAUGCUGAUAUCCUGUUUUGAUCCCUUUUCUUGGAAGCAUUGUAAGUAAAGAGACAGAUGUCCUGGAAAAGACUUCAAUAGAAUGCUGGUGAUCAUCUGAAGUAAUGGCCUGCAUGGUGGAGGGAACAGAGGCUACCUUGACUUUAACAUGAGGAAGGCAGAACGAGCACAGAAGUACAGAAGCUGGGAGAGACUCUUGGUUGACUCCAAACCAACCUUCUGCUCUGAGGAGUGACAUUUUUGGUCAUGAUGACUUUUGUGGGGAAACUGUUGCAUUGAGAUUAAACAGCAAGUCCUUGGUGGGUGAUAAAUAGACCAACGAAAUAUCAUUAGCAGAAAUUUAGAACAAAUAGUGAAAUGCAGUUCCCUUAAUACAUCAGUCAUUGCAUAUGUAGCAGUACAAUAUAAAGUAUUAGAGUGACCAAUUCUGCUACUUGAUUUCAAAAGGUGAUGCAGCUGCAAUGGGCUGUUUUUGCUGUGAACUCAUAUACUUUUUAAAGGAUGCUCCACCAAUACUAUCAGUUAUAGGUAGUUUUGUUA